This 497-nucleotide ribosomal RNA is filed under the name uncultured bacterium. RNAcentral describes it as "partial 16S ribosomal RNA". It matches the Rfam family "Bacterial small subunit ribosomal RNA", at positions 28 to 507 of the family's 1533-position model. The record is from RNAcentral.
GACGAACGCUGGCGGCGUGCCUAAUACAUGCAAGUUGAGCGCUGAAGGUUGGUACUUGUACCAACUGGAUGAGCAGCGAACGGGUGAGUAACGCGUGGGGAAUCUGCCUUUGAGCGGGGGACAACAUCUGGAAACGAAUGCUAAUACCGCAUAAAAACUUUAAACACAAGUUUUAAGUUUGAAAGAUGCAAUUGCAUCACUCAAAGAUGAUCCCGCGUUGUAUUAGCUAGUUGGUGAGGUAAAGGCUCACCAAGGCGAUGAUACAUAGCCGACCUGAGAGGGUGAUCGGCCACCUUGGGACUGGGACACGGCCCAAAAUCCUACGGGAGGCAGCAGUAGGGAAUCUUCGGCAAUAGAGGAAAGUCUGACCGAGCAAAGGCGCGUGAGGUAAGAAGGUUUUCGGAUCGUAAAAAUCUGUUGGUAGAGGAGAACGUUGGUGAGAGGGGAAAGCUCAUCAAGUGACGGUAACUACCCAGAAAGGGACGGCUAACUACGUG